UACGAAGGGGGCUAGCGUUGCUCGGAAUCACUGGGCGUAAAGGGUGCGUAGGCGGGUUUUUAAGUCAGGGGUGAAAUCUUGGAGCUCAACUCCAGAACUGCCUUUGAUACUGAAGAUCUUGAGUUCGGGAGAGGUGAGUGGAACUGCGAGUGUAGAGGUGAAAUUCGUAGAUAUUCGCAAGAACACCAGUGGCGAAGGCGGCUCACUGGCCCGAUACUGACGCUGAGGCACGAAAGCGUGGGGAGCAAACAGG
This 253-nucleotide ribosomal RNA is filed under the name uncultured bacterium. RNAcentral describes it as "partial 16S ribosomal RNA". It matches the Rfam family "Bacterial small subunit ribosomal RNA", at positions 524 to 776 of the family's 1533-position model. The record is from RNAcentral.